AAUAAGCACCUGGCUAACUCUGUGCCAGCAGCCGCGGUAAUACAGAGGGUGCCAGCGUUAAUCGGAUUUACUGGGCGUAAAGCGCGCGUAGGUGGCCGAUUAAGUCAGAAUGUGAAAUCCCCGAGCUUAACUUAGGGAAUUGCAUUCGAUACUGGUUGGCUAGAGUAUGGGAGAGGAUGGUAGAAUUCCAGGUGUAGCGGUGAAAUGCGUAGAGAUCUGGAGGAAUACCGAUGGCGAAGGCAGCCAUCUGGCCUAAUACUGACACUGAGGUGCGAAAGCAUGGGGAGCAAACAGGAUUAGAUACCCUGGUAGUCCAUGCCGUAAACGAUGUCUACUAGCCGUUGGGGCCUUUGAGGCUUUAGUGGCGCAGCUAACGCGAUAAGUAGACCGCCUGGGGAGUACGGUCGCAAGACUAAAACUCAAAUGAAUUGACGGGGGCCCGCACAAGCGGUGGAGCAUGUGGUUUAAUUCGAUGCAACGCGAAGAACCUUACCUGGUCCUGACAUAGUAAGAACUUUCCAGAGAUGGAUGGGUGCCUUCGGGGAACUUACAUACAGGUGCUGCAUNGGCUGUCGUCAGCUCGUGUCGUGAGAUGU
This 596-nucleotide ribosomal RNA is filed under the name bacterium E-2-0-3D. Its description in RNAcentral is "bacterial SSU rRNA". It matches the Rfam family "Bacterial small subunit ribosomal RNA", at positions 485 to 1075 of the family's 1533-position model. The record is from RNAcentral.